GAUGAACGCUGGCGGCGCGCCUAACACAUGCAAGUCGAACGAUUAAAGCACCUUCGGGUGUGUAUAAAGUGGCGAACGGCUGAGUAACACGUGGGCAACCUGCCCCUUUCAUUGGGAUAGCCACGGGAAACCGUGGAUAAUACCGAAUACUUCGAGACUUCCGCAUGGAAGACUCGAGAAAGCUCCGGCGGAGAGGGAUGGGCCCGCGGCCUGUUAGCUUGUUGGUGGGGUAACGGCCUACCAAGGCAAUGAUGGGUAGCUGGGUUGAGAGACCGACCAGCCAGAUUGGGACUGAGACACGGCCCAGACUCCUACGGGAGGCAGCAGUGGGGAAUCUUGCACAAUGGGCGAAAGCCUGAUGCAGCGACGCCGCGUGGGGGAUGAAGGCCUUCGGGUUGUAAACCGCUUUCAGCAGGGACGAGGCGAAAGUGACGGUACCUGCAGAAGAAGCCCCGGCUAACUACGUG
This 467-nucleotide ribosomal RNA is filed under the name uncultured bacterium. Its description in RNAcentral is "partial 16S ribosomal RNA". It matches the Rfam family "Bacterial small subunit ribosomal RNA", at positions 28 to 507 of the family's 1533-position model. The record is from RNAcentral.